CUCUGUGCCUGAGCCUGUUGCUAGGGGAAGCUUUGAGGGGGCGCGGGUGGAAGGAAAGAGGCCGUGAUUUGCGCCUGCGUGCAGCGUAGAAGCUGGGAGGGGUAAGGGAAAGCUGCUGCUGGGAGCGGAAAAGGCGGGAAAGUGGACCGUCCAGAGUUCUCGGCAGACACAACAUCUUUGUUGGUAUGCGGUGCUGAGGAUCGAACCCCGGGCUGCAUGCAUGCCAGGACUAGAGUAAAGAACCUCACCUGAGAACAAGGCAGGAACUAGGCCAGUGCCCUCAGAGCCGGGUUCUAGACCAGUGGGACUCCCGGCGCGGGUGGAAGCACACAGCAGUGAC
Marmota monax (woodchuck) is the source of this 340-nucleotide long non-coding RNA. RefSeq lists it as uncharacterized. The record is from RefSeq and is a predicted model, not a curated record. The transcript is spliced from 3 exons. Lineage: Eukaryota; Metazoa; Chordata; Mammalia; Rodentia; Sciuridae.